This 397-nucleotide ribosomal RNA is filed under the name Escherichia coli. Its description in RNAcentral is "bacterial SSU rRNA". It matches the Rfam family "Bacterial small subunit ribosomal RNA", at positions 1072 to 1474 of the family's 1533-position model. The record is from RNAcentral. Lineage: Bacteria; Pseudomonadati; Pseudomonadota; Gammaproteobacteria; Enterobacterales; Enterobacteriaceae.
AUUUUGGGUUAAGUUACGCAAGGAGCGCCACCCUUAUCCUUUAUUGCCAACCGUCCGGCCGGGAACUCAAAGGAGACUGACAGUGAUAAACUGGAGGAAAGUGGGGGUGACGUCAAGUCAUCAUGGCCCUUAAGACCAAGGGUUAACCCGUGCUACAAAGGGGCCGUCCAAGGGAUAGGACCUCGGGAGAGCAAGCGGACCCCAUAAAGUGGUUUGUAGUCCGGAAUGGAGUCUGCAAAUCGAACUCCUGAAGUCGGAAUCCCUAGUAAUCGUGGAUCAGAAUUCCCCGGUGAAUACGUUCCCGGGCUUUGACACACCGCCCGUCACACCAUGGAGUGGAUGCAAAAGAAGUAGGAAGCUUAAAUCUUUGGUAGGCGGUUUCGUAUAGGUGUUUCCU